UCGGCCUUGAGCCGGGUGAUCUCGGCGAUCGCGUCGCCGUUGACCAGUCGGGUGUUCCAGUCGACCUGGUCGAUC
This 75-nucleotide transfer RNA is filed under the name Streptomyces sp. YIM 130001. Its description in RNAcentral is "tRNA-Ala". Lineage: Bacteria; Bacillati; Actinomycetota; Actinomycetes; Kitasatosporales; Streptomycetaceae. The record is from RNAcentral.